CUCCGACUUCUGUAAAGCUCGAAGGAAGACCCACCUGGAUCCACGCUUCCCACUGCAAAAGGAUAAGGAACCCGCCAGAUCCAGAGCUAAUAAAAUGAUUUUCUUCUGUCUGUUAGCACUAUUAACACUCACCACAAGUGCAUAAAUUCCU
Long non-coding RNA from Bufo bufo (common toad), 151 nucleotides. RefSeq lists it as uncharacterized. The record is from RefSeq and is a predicted model, not a curated record. Lineage: Eukaryota; Metazoa; Chordata; Amphibia; Anura; Bufonidae. The transcript has 3 exons.